This 484-nucleotide ribosomal RNA is filed under the name uncultured bacterium. Its description in RNAcentral is "partial 16S ribosomal RNA". It matches the Rfam family "Bacterial small subunit ribosomal RNA", at positions 30 to 507 of the family's 1533-position model. The record is from RNAcentral.
AUUGAACGCUGGCGGCAGGCCUAACACAUGCCAGUCGAGCGGAUGAAGGGAGCUUGCUCCUGGAUUCAGCGGCGGACGGGUGAGUAAUGCCUAGGAAUCUGCCUGGUAGUGGGGGAUAACGUCCGGAAACGGGCGCUAAUACCGCAUACGUCCUGAGGGAGAAAGUGGGGGAUCUUCGGACCUCACGCUAUCAGAUGAGCCUAGGUCGGAUUAGCUAGUUGGUGGGGUAAAGGCCUACCAAGGCGACGAUCCGUAACUGGUCUGAGAGGAUGAUCAGUCACACUGGAACUGAGACACGGUCCAGACUCCUACGGGAGGCAGCAGUGGGGAAUAUUGGACCAUGGGCGAAAGCCUGAUCCAGCCAUGCCGCGUGUGUGAAGAAGGUCUUCGGAUUGUAAAGCACUUUAAGUUGGGAGGAAGGGCAGUAAGUUAAUACCUUGCUGUUUUGACGUUACCAACAGAAUAAGCACCGGCUAACUUCGUG